Molecule: non-coding RNA, 29 nt
Filed under: Rattus norvegicus (Norway rat)
Lineage: Eukaryota; Metazoa; Chordata; Mammalia; Rodentia; Muridae
Source: RNAcentral
UUUGUGACAACACAGUUGGUGCUGGGGAU